RNAcentral lists this ribosomal RNA (501 nucleotides) under uncultured bacterium. RNAcentral describes it as "partial 16S ribosomal RNA". It matches the Rfam family "Bacterial small subunit ribosomal RNA", at positions 30 to 522 of the family's 1533-position model. The record is from RNAcentral.
AUUGAACGCUGGCGGCAUGCCUUACACAUGCAAGUCGAACGGCAGCAUAGGAGCUUGCUCCUGAUGGCGAGUGGUGAACGGGUGAGUAAUAUAUCGGAACGUGCCCUAGAGUGGGGGAUAACUAGUCGAACGACUAGCUAAUACCGCAUACGAUCUACGGAUGAAAGUGGGGGAUCGCAAGGCCUCAUGCUCCUGGAGCGGCCGAUAUCUGAUUAGCUCGUUGGUGGGGUAAAAGCCUACCAAGGCAACGAUCAGUAGCUGGUCUGAGAGGACGACCAGCCACACUGGGACUGAGACAAGGCCCAGACUCCUACGGGAGGCAGCAGUGGGGAAUUUUGGACAAUGGGGGCAACCCUGAUCCAGCAAUGCCGCGUGAGUGAAGAAGGCCUUCGGGCUGUAAAGCUCUUUUGUCAGGGAAGAAGCGGUAGUAGCGAAUAACUAUUACUAAUGACGGUACCUGAAGAAUAAGCACCGGCUAACUACGUGCCAGCAGCCGCAGAA